UACGAAGGGGGCUAGCGUUGCUCGGAAUGACUGGGCGUAAAGGGCGCGUAGGCGGAUGGCACAGUCAGAUGUGAAAUUCCCGGGCUUAACCUGGGGGCUGCAUUUGAUACGUGUUGUCUAGAGUGAGGAAGAGGGUUGUGGAAUUCCCAGUGUAGAGGUGAAAUUCGUAGAUAUUGGGAAGAACACCGGUGGCGAAGGCGGCAACCUGGUCCAUUACUGACGCUGAGGUGCGAAAGCGUGGGGAGCAAACAGG
RNAcentral lists this ribosomal RNA (253 nucleotides) under uncultured bacterium. RNAcentral's name for it is "partial 16S ribosomal RNA". It matches the Rfam family "Bacterial small subunit ribosomal RNA", at positions 524 to 776 of the family's 1533-position model. The record is from RNAcentral.